CCUACGGGAGGCAGCAGUCGAGAAUCAUUCACAAUGGGGGAAACCCUGAUGGUGCGACGCCGCGUGGGGGAAUGAAGGUCUUCGGAUUGUAAACCCCUGUCAUGUGGGAGCAAAUUAAAAAGAUCGUACCACAAGAGGAAGAGACGGCUAACUCUGUGCCAGCAGCCGCGGUAAUACAGAGGUCUCAAGCGUUGUUCGGAAUCACUGGGCGUAAAGCGUGCGUAGGCUGUUUCGUAAGUCGUGUGUGAAAGGCGCGGGCUCAACCCGCGGACGGCACAUGAUACUGCGAGACUAGAGUAAGGGAGGGGGAACCGGAAUUCUCGGUGUAGCAGUGAAAUGCGUAGAUAUCGAGAGGAACACUCGUGGCGAAGGCGGGUUCCUGGACAUUAACUGACGCUGAGGCACGAAGGCCAGGGGAGCGAAAGGGAUUAGAUACCCCAGUAGUC
Molecule: ribosomal RNA, 446 nt
Filed under: uncultured bacterium
Lineage: Bacteria
Description: partial 16S ribosomal RNA
Rfam family: Bacterial small subunit ribosomal RNA
Source: RNAcentral